GAUGAACGCUGGCGGCGUGCCUAAUACAUGCAAGUCGAGCGAACGGACGAGAAGCUUGCUUCUCUGUUGUUUGCGGCGGACGGGUGAGUAACACGUGGAAAACCUACCUAUAAGACUGGGAUAACUUCGGGACACCGGAGCUAAUCCCGGAUAAUCUUUUGAACCGUAUGGUUCAAUAGUGAAAGACGGUCUUGCUGUCACUUAUAGAUGGAUCCGCGCUGCAUUAGCUAGUUGGUAAGGUAACGGCUUACCAAGGCAACGAUGCAUAGCCGACCUGAGAGGCUGAUCGGCGGCACGGGAACUGAGACGGGGUCCAGACUCCUACGAGAGGGAGCAGUAGGGAAUCGUCGGCAAUAGGCGAAAGCCUGACGGAGCAACGCCGCGUGAGAGAUGAAGGUCUUCGGAUCGUAAAGAUCUGUUAUUAGGGGAGAACAGAUGUGUAAGGAACUGUGCACAUCGUGACGGUACCUAAUCAGAAAGCAACGGCUAACUACGUG
RNAcentral lists this ribosomal RNA (497 nucleotides) under uncultured bacterium. Its description in RNAcentral is "partial 16S ribosomal RNA". It matches the Rfam family "Bacterial small subunit ribosomal RNA", at positions 28 to 507 of the family's 1533-position model. The record is from RNAcentral.